Molecule: ribosomal RNA, 301 nt
Filed under: uncultured bacterium
Lineage: Bacteria
Description: partial 16S ribosomal RNA
Rfam family: Bacterial small subunit ribosomal RNA
Source: RNAcentral
CAGCAGCCGCGGUAAGACAGAGGAUGCAAGCGUUAUCCGGAAUGAUUGGGUGUAAAGGGUGUGCAGACGGCUUAUUAAGUCACUUGUUAAAUUCUUCGGCCUAACUGAAGGUCUGCAAGUGAUACUGAUGAGCUAGAGGGUGGAAGAGAGAAGUGGAAUUCUCGGAGUAGCGGUAAAAUGCGUAGAUCUCGAGAGGAACACCAAUGGCGAAGGCAGCUUCUUGGUCCAUUCUGACGUUCAUACACGAAAGCGUGGGGAGCAAACAGGAUUAGAUACCCCAGUAGUCCCUGUCUCUUAUACC